CAUGCAGGCGGUGCGCCAAGUCGGGGGUGUAAAGUUACGGCUCAACCGUGACCUUGCAAUCGAAACUGGCGCACUGGAGUGCGGGAGAGGGAAGUGGAAUUCCCGGUGUAGCGGUGAAAUGCGUAGAUAUCGGGAGGAACGCCAGUGGCGAAGGCGGCUUCCUGGCCCGCGACUGACGCUCAUGUGCGAAAGCCAGGGGAGCGAACCG
RNAcentral lists this ribosomal RNA (208 nucleotides) under uncultured Acetomicrobium sp. RNAcentral's name for it is "partial 16S ribosomal RNA". It matches the Rfam family "Bacterial small subunit ribosomal RNA", at positions 568 to 775 of the family's 1533-position model. Lineage: Bacteria; Thermotogati; Synergistota; Synergistia; Synergistales; Acetomicrobiaceae. The record is from RNAcentral.